Molecule: ribosomal RNA, 449 nt
Filed under: uncultured bacterium
Lineage: Bacteria
Description: partial 16S ribosomal RNA
Rfam family: Bacterial small subunit ribosomal RNA
Source: RNAcentral
AACGAACGCUGGCGGCAUGCUUAACACAUGCAAGUCGAACGAGACCUUCGGGUCUAGUGGCGCACGGGUGCGUAACGCGUGGGAAUCUACCCUUUGCUACGGAAUAACUCAGAGAAAUUUGUGCUAAUACCGUAUAAUGUCGCAAGACCAAAGAUUUAUCGGCAGAGGACGAGCCCGCGUAAGAUUAGCUAGUUGGUGGGGUAAAGGCUCACCAAGGCGACGAUCUUUAGCUGGUCUGAGAGGAUGAUCAGCCACACUGGGACUGAGACACGACCCAGACUCCUACGGGAGGCAGCAGUGGGGAAUAUUGGACAAUGGGCGAAAGCCUGAUCCAGCAAUGCCGCGUGAGUGAUGAAGUCCUUAGGGUUGUAAAGCUCUUUUACCAGGGAUGAUAAUGACAGUACCUGGAGAAUAAGCUCCGGCUAACUCCGUGCCAGCCGCCGCAGUAA